UAGCAGAGGGGUAGGAAGUACAUUACAGUAGCAGAGGGAUAGGAAGGACAUUACAGUAGCCGAGGGGUAUGAAGGACGUUACAGUAGCAGAGGGGUAGGAAGUACAUUACAUUAGCAGAGGGGUGGGAAGGACAUUAGUGUAGAAGAGGGGUAGGAAGUACGUUACAGUAGAAGAGGGGUAGGAAGUACGUUACAGUAGAAGAGGGGUAGGAAGUACGUUACAGUAGCAGAGGGGUAUGAGGUACGUUACAGUAGCAGAGGGGUAGGAAGUACAUUACAGCAGCAUAGGGGUAGGAAGUACGUUACAGUAGCAGAGGGAUAGGAAGUGCGUUACAGUAGCAGAGGGGUUGGAAGUACGUUACAGUUGCAGGGGGUAUGAA
This is a long non-coding RNA of Oncorhynchus tshawytscha (Chinook salmon), 380 nucleotides long. The record is from Ensembl. Lineage: Eukaryota; Metazoa; Chordata; Actinopteri; Salmoniformes; Salmonidae.